RNAcentral lists this ribosomal RNA (524 nucleotides) under uncultured bacterium. Its description in RNAcentral is "partial 16S ribosomal RNA". It matches the Rfam family "Bacterial small subunit ribosomal RNA", at positions 28 to 523 of the family's 1533-position model. The record is from RNAcentral.
GACGAACGCUGGCGGCGUGCCUAAUACAUGCAAGUCGAGCGCAGGAAACUGACGGAACUCUUCGGAGGGAAGGCAGUGGAAUGAGCGGCGGACGGGUGAGUAACACGUAAGGAACCUGCCUCAAGGGUUGGGAUAACUCCGAGAAAUCGGAGCUAAUACCGGAUAGUUCAACGGACCGCAUGGUCCGCUGAUGAAAGGCGCUUCGGCGUCACCUUGAGAUGGCCUUGCGGUGCAUUAGCUAGUUGGUGGGGUAACGGCCCACCAAGGCGACGAUGCAUAGCCGACCUGAGAGGGUGAUCGGCCACACUGGGACUGAGACACGGCCCAGACUCCUACGGGAGGCAGCAGUAGGGAAUAUUCCACAAUGGACGAAAGUCUGAUGGAGCAACGCCGCGUGAGUGAUGAAGGUUUUCGGAUCGUAAAACUCUGUUGUAAGGGAAGAACACGUACGAGAGGAAAUGCUCGUACCUUGACGGUACCUUACGAGAAAGCCACGGCUAACUACGUGCCAGCAGCCGCGGUAA